Molecule: ribosomal RNA, 335 nt
Filed under: Peripatidae sp. MZUSP 0102
Lineage: Eukaryota; Metazoa; Onychophora; Udeonychophora; Euonychophora; Peripatidae
Description: partial 16S ribosomal RNA
Source: RNAcentral
UCUUAUAAAUUAAGACUGGAAUGAAUGGAUAUAUUGGGGCAAUGCUUUCUUAGAUUAAUGAUUAAAAGUAAAUUUUUUAGUGAAAAAGCUAAAAUUUUGAUGAGGGACGAGAAGACCCUAUUAAGCUUUAUAAAAUUAUUUUGUUGGGGAAACAGAAGGAAAAAUUUUCUUUAAAAAAGUUUUUUGAUAAAAUGUUGAUUUAUUAUUGAUAAUAAUAGAAUAAGUUACUAUAGGGAUAACAGCAUAAUUUUUUUAAAAAGUUCAUAUUGACAAAAAGGGUUAUGACCUCGAUGUUGGAUUAAAAUUAUUAUAUGAUGUAGUUGUUGUAUAAAUUG